CCCAAUAACCAGAGACCCACGAAGAUGCGGCUCUGGUCAACGUAGGACUUGCUCAGUGCUAUUGUAACGUCCGACAUCGGAAUAAUGAACAUUUACUAAUCAUCAUGACUCUCCAACUGUUUUUCGACAUUCAUUGAUGACAUUAAACAUGUUCAUCGACGGCCUUGGCCCCAGACUAAGUGUGUAAAUUAGAUUGGGAAAUGAUCGGUUGAGAUGAUGGUAGCAUAAGAGAAAUGUGCCAUAAACAUGGGGUGGAAUUAAAUUGAUUGGCGUGAGAGGCACACACUCCUUUCCUUCCUUCCUUCAUUGGAGUGGAAGAAGAUGAAAGGUCAACUACUCCACCCAAAACCGAAGAAAAAUUGUAGAGAUACAAUAAUGAGUAAGGAAAAAUGGAUGUGGACCAGGUUGUAUGGUGAGCCCCACUACUAAACCAUGUUUGUGUUGGAUUCUGGAAUAUGUAUGUGCUCAUAUCCGUUCAUUUUUGGUUCACUCCUUUCUUACCCAAGACAAUAUCAUUGACGUGCGUAAUAGUGAAGCAACAAGAGCCAAUGGCCCAUGCUUCACAUCAACGAAUCAAGCAAUUAAAAUUAGUAAAAUUAAAAAGAAAGAACCAUUGAAAUUGUACUUACGUUGUGGAAACAAAAACGUUGAUGGAUCAUGGAUUUUCAUCAACAACAUGUUUUUUUAACUGAACAAAAUAAAAGACAAAAAAUAGAUGUAACAUUUUUAUAAUACUGUACUAAUCUUAAUUCCCUUUCCCAGUUUGCUAAUGUUCUAUUGUCAUGGUCGCUUUCAGCUUUGCCUCAUAUUUCUUCGCUGCUUCUUUGUCUUCUAUCGCUUCAAGUAUUCGUUUUUUAUUUUGUUUGGUCAGACAAGUAGUCGUUACUUUACUCCUGUGUUAGGCUAACCUAACCUAACCAUAACCAAUUAAGUUUUUUUUUUCUUAUAAUUAUUUUACCCAUAAAAAAUAAAAUAAAUCAAGUUCAUUAUAAUUAUAGGGUAAAUGCGUCCUUAAGUUACAUGUUAAAAUACUUUAAAUAGUAAUUAUAUCUUGAAUAAAAUAAUUAUUGACUUCUAAAGAGAUAAAAUAAAAAUGUAUAAUUUUCAAUACAAAAUUAACAUCUGUAGUACACUAGUAAGUGUUUUGCAAGUACACUCUUUUUUCAUACAAUUAUUUACCGGAGCAUCAAAGUGUUUUGCAAGUACACUCUCUUUUCACAAAUAUUUUUAUAGACACGGAUCUUUACCGAUCAAAACCGUUUUGAUCGUUUAAGAUAAAAAAUAAUUUGAAGACUCAGUCGAGUUUAAUUUGAAUGUUGCAAGGUAUAAAAUAGUUUUACGCAUUUGUUAAAUUACUUAAAAAUUUACCAAGAUUUUGAAAAAUGUCAAUCUUGUUUAGUGGUAAAAGAUUUGUAGUACUAAAAAAAGGAGAGCUGACCUGAUUUUGGGAGAUUUGAAGUCAUAAAGAACGAACUUUGGAUUCAGAUUGCUUGGCAUGAAGUACUCCUCUUUGGAAAGUUGUACUUGUUGUAUAUCUGCUUUGAGACUCAUGUCUAAGUGCAAAUU
This 1566-nucleotide long non-coding RNA is filed under the name Trifolium pratense (red clover). RNAcentral's name for it is "long non-coding RNA (TPRA_LNC005322)". Lineage: Eukaryota; Viridiplantae; Streptophyta; Magnoliopsida; Fabales; Fabaceae. The record is from RNAcentral.